UACGUAGGGUGCAAGCGUUGUCCGGAAUUAUUGGGCGUAAAGAGCUCGUAGGCGGUUUGUUGCGUCGGCUGUGAAAUCCCGAGGCUCAACCUCGGGUCUGCAGUCGAUACGAGCAAACUAGAGUGUUGCAGGGGAGACUGGAAUUCCUGGUGUAGCGGUGAAAUGCGCAGAUAUCAGGAGGAACACCGGUGGCGAAGGCGGGUCUCUGGGCAACAACUGACGCUGAGGCGCGAAAGCUAGGGGAGCAAACGGG
RNAcentral lists this ribosomal RNA (253 nucleotides) under uncultured bacterium. RNAcentral describes it as "partial 16S ribosomal RNA". It matches the Rfam family "Bacterial small subunit ribosomal RNA", at positions 524 to 776 of the family's 1533-position model. The record is from RNAcentral.